Molecule: ribosomal RNA, 253 nt
Filed under: uncultured bacterium
Lineage: Bacteria
Description: partial 16S ribosomal RNA
Rfam family: Bacterial small subunit ribosomal RNA
Source: RNAcentral
UACGUAGGGUGCAAGCGUUAAUCGGAAUUACUGGGCGUAAAGGGUGCGCAGGCGGCUCCGCAUGUCGGGCGUGAAAGCCCCGGGCUUAACCCGGGAAUGGCGUCCGAAACUAUGGAGCUGGAGUGUGGCAGAGGGAGGUGGAAUUCCACGUGUAGCGGUGAAAUGCGUAGAGAUGUGGAGGAACACCAGUGGCGAAGGCGGCUCUCUGGACCGGUUCUGACGCUCAGGCGCGAAAGCGUGGGGAGCGAUCCGG